This 369-nucleotide unclassified non-coding RNA is filed under the name soil metagenome. RNAcentral's name for it is "partial contains 5.8S ribosomal RNA, internal transcribed spacer 2, and large subunit ribosomal RNA". The stretch from base 1 to 120 matches the Rfam family "5.8S ribosomal RNA", at positions 35 to 154 of the family's 154-position model. The record is from RNAcentral.
GAUGAAGAACGUAGCGAAAUGCGAUAAGUAAUGUGAAUUGCAGAAUUCAGUGAAUCAUCGAAUCUUUGAACGCACAUUGCGCCCGCCAGUAUUCUGGCGGGCAUGCCUGUUCGAGCGUCAUUUCAACCCUCAAGCCCUGCUUGGUGUUGGGGAUCGGCGUUGCCUCCUCCGUCGUUCGCGGCGGGGUGAGGUCGCCGCCCCCGAAAUGAAUUGGCGGUCUCGUCGCAGCUUUCCUUUGCGUAGUAACAUACCACCUCGCAACCAGGAGCGCGGCGCGGCCACUGCCGUAAAACGCCCAACUUUUUCAAGAGUUGACCUCGAAUCAGGUAGGAAUACCCGCCGAACUUAAGCAUAUCAAUAAGCGGAGGA